GUGUCAGCCGCCGCGGUAAUACGUAGGUGGCAAGCGUUGUCCGGAAUUAUUGGGCGUAAAGCGCGCGCAGGCGGGAAUGUAAGUCUGUCUUAAAAGUGCGGGGCUUAACCCCGUGAGGGGACGGAAACUACAUUUCUUGAGUGCAGGAGAGGACAGUGGAAUUCCCAGUGUAGCGGUGAAAUGCGUAGAUAUUGGGAGGAACACCAGUGGCGAAGGCGACUGUCUGGACUGUGUCUGACGCUGAGGCGCGAAAGCCAGGGGAGUGAACGGGAUUAGAUACCCCGGUAAUCCUGGCCGUAAACGAUGGGUACUAGGUGUAGGGGGUAUCGACCCCUCCUGUGCCGGAGUUAACGCAAUAAGUACCCCGCCUGGGGAGUACGGCCGCAAGGUUGAA
RNAcentral lists this ribosomal RNA (394 nucleotides) under uncultured bacterium. RNAcentral's name for it is "bacterial SSU rRNA". It matches the Rfam family "Bacterial small subunit ribosomal RNA", at positions 505 to 898 of the family's 1533-position model. The record is from RNAcentral.